CUCAAGACAAGCCUCUAGUGAGCUAAAUAGUGUCCGUACUCUAAACCGACGCAGGUGGGUGGGAUGAAAAUUCUAAGGCGUUGAGUGAAACCUCGUUAAGGAACUCGGCAACUUAACACCGUAACUUCGGGAGAAGGUGUGCCCUCUCGGGUCAUGGGCCUUGCGUCCGCAGCCUGGGAGGGUCGCAGAGAAGUGGCCGCAGCGACUGUUUACUAAAAACACAGGACUCUGCUAAAUCGCAAGAUGACGUAUAGGGUCUGAUGCCUGCCCGGUGCCGGAAGGUUAAGGGGAAGUGUUAUUCAACUCGUUGGAGAAGCACCGAACCGAAGCCCCGGUAAACGGCGGCCGUAACAAUAACGGUCCUAAGGUAGCGAAAUUCCUUGUCGGGUAAGUUCCGACCUGCACGAAUGGCAUAACGACUGCGGCGGUGUCUCAACGAGGGGCUCAGUGAAAUUGCAGUGCCAGUGAAGAUACUGGCAACCCGCGGAAGGACGGAAAGACCCCGUGCACCUUUACUACAACUUGACAUUGUAUUCUGGGUAGGUCUGUGUAGGAUAGGUGGGAGGCUGUGAAGCCGGGACGCUAGUUUCGGUGGAGCCAACCUUGAAAUACCACCCUGAUCUGCUUGGGCUACUAACCUGCACCCGUAAUCCGGGUGGGGGACAGUGUCUGGUGGGUAGUUUGACUGGGGCGGUCGCCUCCUAAAGAGUAACGGAGGCGCGCGAAGGUUCCCUCAGGCUGAUCGGAAACCAGCCGGCGAGUGCAAAGGCAUAAGGGAGCUUGACUGCGAGACAGACAUGUCGAGCAGGUGCGAAAGCAGGUCUUAGUGAUCCGGUGGCGCCGAAUGGAAGGGCCAUCGCUCAACGGAUAAAAGGUACGCCGGGGAUAACAGGCUGAUCUCCCCCAAGAGUUCACAUCGACGGGGAGGUUUGGCACCUCGAUGUCGGCUCAUCGCAUCCUGGGGCUGGAGCAGGUCCCAAGGGUAUGGCUGUUCGCCAUUUAAAGCGGUACGCGAGCUGGGUUUAGAACGUCGUGAGACAGUUCGGUCCCUAUCCUCCGUGGGCGGAGGAGAUUUGAGGGAAGCUGCCCCUAGUACGAGAGGACCGGGGUGGACGGACCAAUGGUGCUCCUGUUGUCGCGCCAGCGGCAUAGCAGGGUAGCUAAGUCCGGAACGGAUAACCGCUGAAAGCAUCUAAGUGGGAAGCCGCUCCCAAGAUAAGAUCUCCCUUCGUUCUCGUAACGACUGAAGGCCACACGUAGACUACGUGUUUGAUAGGCUGGGUGUGUAAGCGCAGUAAUGUGUUGAGCUAACCAGUACUAAUCGGCCGUGAGGCUUGACUCG
This 1342-nucleotide ribosomal RNA is filed under the name metagenome. Its description in RNAcentral is "bacterial LSU rRNA". It matches the Rfam family "Bacterial large subunit ribosomal RNA", at positions 1607 to 2925 of the family's 2925-position model. The record is from RNAcentral.